GGACGCUAGCGGCAGGCUUAACACAUGCAAGUCGAGGGGCAGCGGGGAGGAAGCUUGCUUUCUCCGCCGGCGACCGGCGCACGGGUGAGUAACACGUAUGCAACCUGCCCCUGUCAGGGGGACAACCCGCCGAAAGGCGGGCUAAACCCGCGUACAUGCCACCGGGGCAUCCCGGAGGCAGGAAAGGCUUCGGCCGGACAGGGAUGGGCAUGCGGCGCAUUAGGCAGUAGGCGGGGUAACGGCCCACCUAACCGACGAUGCGUAGGGGUUCUGAGAGGAAGGUCCCCCACACUGGUACUGAGACACGGACCAGACUCCUACGGGAGGCAGCAGUGAGGAAUAUUGGUCAAUGGUCGGGAGACUGAACCAGCCAAGCCGCGUGAGGGAGGAAGGUACAGAGUAUCGUAAACCUCUUUUGUCAGGGAACAAAGACUGGGACGCGUCCCCGGAUGAGUGUACCUGAAGAAGAAGCAUCGGCUAACUCCGUGCCAGCAGCCGCGGUAAUACGGAGGAUGCGAGCGUUAUCCGGAUUUAUUGGGUUUAAAGGGUGCGCAGGCGGUCUGUUAAGUCAGCGGUCAAAGCCCGGGGCUCAACCCCGGCCCGCCGUUGAAACUGGCAGUCUCGAGUUGGAGAGAAGUAUGCGGAAUGCGCGGUGUAGCGGUGAAAUGCAUAGAUAUCGCGCAGAACUCCGAUUGCGAAGGCAGCAUGCCGGCUCCACACUGACGCUGAGGCACGAAAGCGUGGGUAUCGAACAGGAUUAGAUACCCUGGUAGUCCACGCAGUAAACGAUGAAUGCUGGCUGUCCGGGGGGACUGACCCCUGGGUGGCGAAGCGAAAGCGAUAAGCAUUCCACCUUGGGAGUACGCCGGCAACGGUGAAACUCAAAGGAAUUGACGGGGGCCCGCACAAGCGGAGGAACAUGUGGUUUAAUUCGAUGAUACGCGAGGAACCUUACCCGGGCUCAAACGGGGAGUGACUCAGGCAGAGACGCCUGUUUCCCACGGGACACUCCCCGAGGUGCUGCAUGGUUGUCGUCAGCUCGUGCCGUGAGGUGUCGGCUUAAGUGCCAUAACGAGCGCAACCCCCGCGUGCAGUUGCUAACAGAUAACGCUGAGGACUCUGCACGGACUGCCGGCGCAAGCCGCGAGGAAGGCGGGGAUGACGUCAAGUCAGCACGGCCCUUACGUCCGGGGCGACACACGUGUUACAAUGGGUGGUACAGCGGGAAGCCAGGCGGCGACGCCGAGCGGAACCCGAAAUCCACUCUCAGUUCGGAUCGGAGUCUGCAACCCGACUCCGUGAAGCUGGAUUCGCUAGUAAUCGCGCAUCAGCCAUGGCGCGGUGAAUACGUUCCCGGGCCUUGUACACACCGCCCGUCAAGCCAUGGGAGCCGAGGGCGCUUGAAGUGCGUCGCCGCGAGGCGCGCCCUAGAGCGAAAUCGGUGACU
RNAcentral lists this ribosomal RNA (1447 nucleotides) under uncultured bacterium. RNAcentral describes it as "bacterial SSU rRNA". It matches the Rfam family "Bacterial small subunit ribosomal RNA". The record is from RNAcentral.